AUUGAACGCUGGCGGCAGGCUUAACACAUGCAAGUCGAGCGGGGGAAGGUAGCUUGCUACCGGACCUAGCGGCGGACGGGUGAGUAAUGCUUAGGAAUCUGCCUAUUAGUGGGGGACAACAUCUCGAAAGGGAUGCUAAUACCGCAUACGUCCUACGGGAGAAAGCAGGGGAUCUUCGGACCUUGCGCUAAUAGAUGAGCCUAAGUGGGAGUAGCUAGUUGGUGGGGUAAAGGCCUACCAAGUCGACGAUCUGUAGCGGGUCUGAGAGGAUGAUCCGCCACACUGGGAAUGAGACACGGCCCAGACUCCUACGGGAGGCAGCAGUGGGGAAUAUUGGACAAUGGGGGGAACCCUGAUCCAGCCAUGCCGCGUGUGUGAAGAAGGCCUUAUGGUUGUAAAGCACUUUAAGCGAGGAGGAGGCUACUUUAGUUAAUACCUAGAGAUAGUGGACGUUACUCGCAGAAUAAGCACCGGCUAACUCUGUGCCAGCAGCCGCCGCUG
Molecule: ribosomal RNA, 501 nt
Filed under: uncultured bacterium
Lineage: Bacteria
Description: partial 16S ribosomal RNA
Rfam family: Bacterial small subunit ribosomal RNA
Source: RNAcentral